This 2017-nucleotide ribosomal RNA is filed under the name Listeria monocytogenes. RNAcentral's name for it is "partial 23S ribosomal RNA". It matches the Rfam family "Bacterial large subunit ribosomal RNA", at positions 1 to 2008 of the family's 2925-position model. Lineage: Bacteria; Bacillati; Bacillota; Bacilli; Caryophanales; Listeriaceae. The record is from RNAcentral.
UUGGUUAAGUUAGAAAGGGCGCACGGUGGAUGCCUUGGCACUAGGAGCCGAAGAAGGACGGGACUAACACCGAUAUGCUUUGGGGAGCUGUACGUAAGCGUUGAUCCAGAGAUUUCCGAAUGGGGGAACCCACUAUCUUUAGUCGGAUAGUAUCCUUACGUGAAUACAUAGCGUGAGGAAGGCAGACCCAGGGAACUGAAACAUCUAAGUACCUGGAGGAAGAGAAAGAAAAAUCGAUUUCCUGAGUAGCGGCGAGCGAAACGGAAAGAGCCCAAACCAAGAAGCUUGCUUCUUGGGGUUGUAGGACACUCUAUACGGAGUUACAAAAGAAAGUUAUAAAUGAAGCGGUCUGGAAAGGCCCGCCAAAGACGGUAACAGCCCGGUAGUUGAAAUGGCUUUCCCUCCAGAGUGGAUCCUGAGUACGGCGGAACACGUGAAAUUCCGUCGGAAUCCGGGAGGACCAUCUCCCAAGGCUAAAUACUCCCUAGUGACCGAUAGUGAACCAGUACCGUGAGGGAAAGGUGAAAAGCACCCCGGAAGGGGAGUGAAACAGUUCCUGAAACCGUGUGCCUACAAGUAGUUAGAGCCCGUUAAUGGGUGAUAGCGUGCCUUUUGUAGAAUGAACCGGCGAGUUACGAUUUGUUGCAAGGUUAAGCGGAAAAAGCGGAGCCGUAGCGAAAGCGAGUCUGAAUAGGGCGCAUAAGUAACAGGUCGUAGACCCGAAACCAGGUGAUCUACCCAUGUCCAGGAUGAAGGUAAGGUAAUACUUACUGGAGGUCCGAACCCACGCACGUUGAAAAGUGCGGGGAUGAGGUGUGGGUAGCGGAGAAAUUCCAAUCGAACUUGGAGAUAGCUGGUUCUCUCCGAAAUAGCUUUAGGGCUAGCCUCGAGGUAAAGAGUCAUGGAGGUAGAGCACUGUUUGGACUAGGGGCCCUUCUCGGGUUACCGAAUUCAGAUAAACUCCGAAUGCCAUGUACUUAUACUCGGGAGUCAGACUGCGAGUGAUAAGAUCCGUAGUCGAAAGGGAAACAGCCCAGACCACCAGUUAAGGUCCCCAAAUAUAUGUUAAGUGGAAAAGGAUGUGGGGUUGCUUAGACAACCAGGAUGUUGGCUUAGAAGCAGCCACCAUUGAAAGAGUGCGUAAUAGCUCACUGGUCGAGUGACCCCGCGCCGAAAAUGUACCGGGGCUAAACAUAUUACCGAAACUGUGGAUGAACCUCUUUAGAGGUUCGUGGUAGGAGAGCGUUCUAAGGGCGGUGAAGUCAGACCGGAAGGACUGGUGGAGCGCUUAGAAGUGAGAAUGCCGGUAUGAGUAGCGAAAGAAGGGUGAGAAUCCCUUCCACCGAAUAUCUAAGGUUUCCUGAGGAAGGCUCGUCCGCUCAGGGUUAGUCGGGACCUAAGCCGAGGCCGAUAGGCGUAGGCGAUGGACAACAGGUAGAGAUUCCUGUACCAGUGCUAAUUGUUUAACCGAUGGGGUGACACAGAAGGAUAGGGAAUCGCACGAAUGGAAAUGUGCGUCCAAGCAGUGAGUGUGAGAAGUAGGCAAAUCCGCUUCUCGCGAAGCAUGAGCUGUGAUGGGGAAGGAAAUUAAGUACGGAAGUUCCUGAUUUCACGCUGUCAAGAAAAGCCUCUAGGAAGAGUAGUACUGCCCGUACCGCAAACCGACACAGGUAGAUGAGGAGAGAAUCCUAAGGUGAGCGAGAGAACUCUCGUUAAGGAACUCGGCAAAAUGACCCCGUAACUUCGGGAGAAGGGGUGCUCUAUUAGGGUGCAAGCCCGAGAGAGCCGCAGUGAAUAGGCCCAGGCGACUGUUUAGCAAAAACACAGGUCUCUGCAAAACCGUAAGGUGACGUAUAGGGGCUGACGCCUGCCCGGUGCUGGAAGGUUAAGAGGAGUGCUUAGCUUCGGCGAAGGUACGAAUUGAAGCCCCAGUAAACGGCGGCCGUAACUAUAACGGUCCUAAGGUAGCGAAAUUCCUUGUCGGGUAAGUUCCGACCCGCACGAAAGGCGCAACGAU